Molecule: long non-coding RNA, 226 nt
Filed under: Ananas comosus (pineapple)
Lineage: Eukaryota; Viridiplantae; Streptophyta; Magnoliopsida; Poales; Bromeliaceae
Description: long non-coding RNA (ACOM_LNC042174)
Source: RNAcentral
UGAAGAGGAUGAUGAUGAUGAUGAUCCUCUUCUUCUCCUCCAUCUUCUCCUUCUUUUCUUCUUCUCUUUUCCUUUCUUUCCUUUCCUUCCUCUCUUCUUCCCCCUUUUCCUCUGCUACGAAUGGGGAGAGAGAGAGAGAGAGAGAGAGAGAGAGAGAGAGCAGUGAGAGAGAGUGUGAGGGAGAGAGAGAGAGAGAGAGAAAUACCCCUCUCUAAUACCCUCUCAU